RNAcentral lists this ribosomal RNA (474 nucleotides) under Treponema sp. canine oral taxon 249. RNAcentral describes it as "bacterial SSU rRNA". It matches the Rfam family "Bacterial small subunit ribosomal RNA", at positions 9 to 471 of the family's 1533-position model. Lineage: Bacteria; Pseudomonadati; Spirochaetota; Spirochaetia; Treponematales; Treponemataceae. The record is from RNAcentral.
GAGUUUGAUUCUGGCUCAGAACGAACGCUGGCGGCGCGUCUUAAGCAUGCAAGUCGAACGGUAAGGGAGAGCUUGCUCUCCCCUAGAGUGGCGGACUGGUGAGUAACGCGUGGGUGACCUGCCUUUGAGAUGGGGAUAGCUAUUAGAAAUAGUAGGUAAUACCGAAUAAUCUCAUCGACAUAAAGGGAGAUGAGGAAAGGAGCUUCGGCUCCGCUCGAAGAUGGGCCCGCGUCCCAUUAGCUAGUUGGUGAGGUAACGGCUCACCAAGGCGACGAUGGGUAUCCGGCCUGAGAGGGUGAACGGACACAUUGGGACUGAGAUACGGCCCAAACUCCUACGGGAGGCAGCAGCUAAGAAUCUUCCGCAAUGGACGAAAGUCUGACGGAGCGACGCCGCGUGAACGAUGAAGGCCGAAAGGUUGUAAAGUUCUUUUGCAGAUGAAGAAUAAGGAUAGGAGGGAAUGCCUAUCUGAUG